Small nucleolar RNA from Urocitellus parryii (Arctic ground squirrel), 104 nucleotides. RefSeq annotates it as small nucleolar RNA U13. The record is from RefSeq and is a predicted model, not a curated record. NCBI's taxonomy places the organism in Eukaryota, Metazoa, Chordata, Mammalia, Rodentia, Sciuridae.
AUCCUGUCCUGGUUCCCAGUCGUGACCAUUGGGUUUUCAUGCCAUUGUGCAAGAUGUUCCUCCCUGAAACCCUGAUAUAAAGUCAGCACAUCAGCCUUCUGAUG